GACGAACCGUGCGAACGUUGUUCGGAAUCACUGGGCCUAAAGGGCGCGUAGGCGGCUUUUCAAGUCAGGGGUGAAAUCCGGCAGCUCAACUGUCGAAGUGCCCUUGAUACUGAUGAGCUCGAGGGAGGUAGGGGUAUGUGGAACUUCCGGUGGAGCGGUGAAAUGCGUUGAUAUCGGAAAGAACACCAACGGCGAAAGCACUCUGCUGGGCCGACACUGACACUGAGAGACGAAAGCUAGGGGAGCAAAUGGG
This 253-nucleotide ribosomal RNA is filed under the name uncultured bacterium. Its description in RNAcentral is "partial 16S ribosomal RNA". It matches the Rfam family "Bacterial small subunit ribosomal RNA", at positions 524 to 776 of the family's 1533-position model. The record is from RNAcentral.